CUUAAUAUUGCUGUCGAAUUACGU
RNAcentral lists this non-coding RNA (24 nucleotides) under Arabidopsis thaliana (thale cress). The record is from RNAcentral. Lineage: Eukaryota; Viridiplantae; Streptophyta; Magnoliopsida; Brassicales; Brassicaceae.